Molecule: ribosomal RNA, 455 nt
Filed under: uncultured bacterium
Lineage: Bacteria
Description: bacterial SSU rRNA
Rfam family: Bacterial small subunit ribosomal RNA
Source: RNAcentral
GGCGCAGCAGUCGGGAAUUUUGGACAAUGGGCGAAAGCCUGAUCCAGCAAUGCCGCGUGCAGGAAGAAGGCCUUCGGGUUGUAAACUGCUUUUGUACGGAGCGAAAAGGCUCUCUCUAAUACAGGGGGCUCAUGACGGUACCGUAAGAAUAAGCACCGGCUAACUACGUGCCAGCAGCCGCGGUAAUACGUAGGGUGCAAGCGUUAAUCGGAAUUACUGGGCGUAAAGCGUGCGCAGGCGGUUUUGUAAGACAGGCGUGAGAUCCCCGGGCUCAACCUGGGAAUGGCGCUUGUGACUGCAAAGCUGGAGUGCGGCAGAGGGGGAUGGAAUUCCGCGUGUAGCAGUGAAAUGCGUAGAUAUGCGGAGGAACACCGAUGGCGAAGGCAAUCCCCUGGGCCUGCACUGACGCUCAUGCACGAAAGCGUGGGGAGCAAACAGGAUUAGAUACCCCCGUA